RNAcentral lists this RNase P RNA (396 nucleotides) under Shinella sumterensis. RNAcentral describes it as "RNase P RNA component class A". It matches the Rfam family "Bacterial RNase P class A". From Rfam's summary of the family: Ribonuclease P (RNase P) is a ubiquitous endoribonuclease, found in archaea, bacteria and eukarya as well as chloroplasts and mitochondria. Its best characterised activity is the generation of mature 5'-ends of tRNAs by cleaving the 5'-leader elements of precursor-tRNAs. Lineage: Bacteria; Pseudomonadati; Pseudomonadota; Alphaproteobacteria; Hyphomicrobiales; Rhizobiaceae. The record is from RNAcentral.
CCAGUUGGCCGGGCAGCCGCGCCUUGCAAGGGCCGAAAGGCCGCAGGGUGAGGAAAGUCCGGGCUCCACGGAAACACGGUGCCGGAUAACGUCCGGCGGGGGCGACCCCAGGGAAAGUGCCACAGAAAGCAAACCGCCUUCCUUGGAAGGUAAGGGUGAAAGGGUGGGGUAAGAGCCCACCGCGUGCAUGGCGACAUGGACGGCACGGUAAACCCCACCGGGAGCAAAACCGAAUAGGGAUGACGCGGAGCGCGUAAGCGCUCCAGCCUGUUUCCGGGCCGGUCAUCCGGGUGGGUUGCAAGAGGCCGGGCGCAAGUCCGGUCCCAGAUGAAUGGCUGCCACGUUCCGGCGAAAGCCGGAGCCUUACAGAACCCGGCUUACAGGCCAACUGGCAAA